UGACUGGGGCGGUCGCCUCCUAAAUCGUAACGGAGGCGCGCGAAGGUUGGCUCAGAGCGGUCGGACAUCGCUCGUUGAGUGCAAUGGCAGAAGCCAGCCUGACUGCAAGACUGACAAGUCGAGCAGAGUCGAAAGACGGCCAUAGUGAUCCGGUGGUCCCAAGUGGGAGGGCCAUCGCUCAACGGAUAAAAGGUACUCCGGGGAUAACAGGCUGAUGAUGCCCAAGAGUCCAUAUCGACGGCAUCGUUUGGCACCUCGAUGUCGGCUCAUCACAUCCUGGGGCUGAAGCCGGUCCCAAGGGUAUGGCUGUUCGCCAUUUAAAGUGGUACGCGAGCUGGGUUUAGAACGUCGUGAGACAGUUCGGUCCCUAUCUGGUGUGGGCGUUGGAUGAUUGAUGGGAGCUGCUCCUAGUACGAGAG
RNAcentral lists this ribosomal RNA (419 nucleotides) under Striatella unipunctata. RNAcentral describes it as "partial Bacterial large subunit ribosomal RNA". It matches the Rfam family "Bacterial large subunit ribosomal RNA", at positions 2270 to 2689 of the family's 2925-position model. Lineage: Eukaryota; Bacillariophyta; Striatellaphyceae; Striatellales; Striatellaceae. The record is from RNAcentral.